GUUUAUAUAAAACCAAUACGUAGUCCUAGAAAGACUUAAACACUUGAAUGAACUUUGAGUGUGACCUAAGAAGAAAUAUAGUGAGAUAUAAGUUAAAAGUUAACACAAUCAAAUUGAACAUUGUGUAUUGAUUAACAAGAAGGGUUAUAAGAUAUAGGGUAAAGUUUACAUUAUAGCUGUUAUGCAUUGCUAUGUGACUAAUAGUUUAUGUGCAUGAUUAUAUAAUUGUGUAG
RNAcentral lists this long non-coding RNA (233 nucleotides) under Panax ginseng (ginseng). Its description in RNAcentral is "long non-coding RNA (PGIN_LNC016621)". Lineage: Eukaryota; Viridiplantae; Streptophyta; Magnoliopsida; Apiales; Araliaceae. The record is from RNAcentral.